CCGCUGUCGGCGCGCGCGAUGAUGUGGCCGUCCUGGCCGGAUGCGUUCAGGCCCUCCAGCGCGGCCGUCAGCCGCGAUGCGCCAGGCCUCAGGAACUUCGGAUCCUGCACAACACUCCCAGCAGUUUACUCUUCAUGAAAAAGGACAAUCCUGCCAUGGCAUUCUUGAGGCAGCCCCACCAUCAAACAUAUGUGCAAGAGCGAAGUGUCGGGAGAGACGCACGAUGGUGACGGUGUAGAGGGGCGCCGAGGGCAGCUGCUGGAGCAGGCUGCCGCUGCGGCCGCUGCUGCUGGCGGGACGGCUGCUUAGCGGGGGCCGGCCGCUAUACCUGGGAGUGGGUGAAACAGGCUCGCUGUUCGCAUCGUGCCUGCCAUUCGACACUGUAAGCACACCAACAACAAUCAGCUUCAACCCUCCACCCUUACAAUAGACUUACACAGGCAUGAUAAUAGAGGCAC
RNAcentral lists this long non-coding RNA (458 nucleotides) under Coccomyxa subellipsoidea. RNAcentral's name for it is "long non-coding RNA (CSUB_LNC000533)". The record is from RNAcentral. Lineage: Eukaryota; Viridiplantae; Chlorophyta; Trebouxiophyceae; Coccomyxaceae.